This 523-nucleotide ribosomal RNA is filed under the name uncultured bacterium. Its description in RNAcentral is "bacterial SSU rRNA". It matches the Rfam family "Bacterial small subunit ribosomal RNA", at positions 8 to 518 of the family's 1533-position model. The record is from RNAcentral.
AGGGUUCGAUUCUGGCUCAGGAUGAACGCUAGCUACAGGCUUAACACAUGCAAGUCGAGGGGCAGCAUGAUCGAAGCUUGCUUUGAUUGAUGGCGACCGGCGCACGGGUGAGUAACGCGUAUCCAACCUUCCCUGUACUAGAGGAUAGCCCGGCGAAAGUCGGAUUAAUACUCUAUGUUAUUCGAUGCGGACAUCUAAUUUGAAUCAAAGGUUUACCGGUAUAGGAUGGGGGAUGCGUCUGAUUAGGUUGUUGGCGGGGUAACGGCCCACCAAGCCGACGAUCAGUAGGGGUUCUGAGAGGAAGGUCCCCCACAUUGGAACUGAGACACGGUCCAAACUCCUACGGGAGGCAGCAGUGAGGAAUAUUGGUCAAUGGACGAAAGUCUGAACCAGCCAAGUAGCGUGCAAGGAUGACGGCCCUAUGGGUUGUAAACUGCUUUUAUACAGGGAUAAAGUCAGUUACGUGUAACUGUUUGUAGGUACUGUAUGAAUAAGGACCGGCUAAUUCCGUGCCAGCAGCAGC